Molecule: long non-coding RNA, 330 nt
Organism: Coregonus clupeaformis (lake whitefish)
Lineage: Eukaryota; Metazoa; Chordata; Actinopteri; Salmoniformes; Salmonidae
Exons: 4
Source: RefSeq, a predicted model, not a curated record
CGCCAAGCAAUAGCCUCACUUUCACCAAUGAGACCUACAGCCAGAUUGAGGAUUCAAUUAACAGCCUACUCCAUGAUAUUCUUUGUAAACCAGACGGCAAACAGUUUGACUUUCCCAAACCCAACUUCACUACUGUUGGCACUCAAAUCAGGGCAGACGUGAUGUAUGUAUACAAAAAGGAAGACAUCAACCUCCCUAGUGCUUUUCUAGAGGAAGUCUUAAAAGUCUCAGGUCUCCUGCCAACCACUGUUGCCCCAACAACCACCACCACCACUGUGGCUUCUACUACGGCAAUUAAAACUGCAGGUCCUACAACAACAACCACAAUUG